Molecule: ribosomal RNA, 253 nt
Filed under: uncultured bacterium
Lineage: Bacteria
Description: partial 16S ribosomal RNA
Rfam family: Bacterial small subunit ribosomal RNA
Source: RNAcentral
GACGGAGGAUGCAAGUGUUAUCCGGAAUCACUGGGCGUAAAGCGUCUGUAGGUGGUCAAAUAAGUCAACUGUUAAAUCUUGAGGCUCAACCUCAAAAUCGCAGUCGAAACUAUUAGACUCGAGUAUAGUAGGGGUAAAGGGAAUUUCCAGUGGAGCGGUGAAAUGCGUAGAGAUUGGAAAGAACACCGAUGGCGAAGGCACUUUACUGGGCUAUUACUAACACUGAGAGACGAAAGCUAGGGUAGCAAAUGGG